CUUUAAAGGAUAGAAGU
Molecule: transfer RNA, 17 nt
Filed under: Barisia imbricata
Lineage: Eukaryota; Metazoa; Chordata; Lepidosauria; Squamata; Anguidae
Description: partial tRNA-Leu
Source: RNAcentral